UAUUUUAUAUUGCUUAGUGUAUUGAUUGCUUUUGUAGCCACAAGAAGUGGUAGUGAUGUUUAUUCAUUUAUGCUUGUGUCUAUUUUCACUUUGAAUUUGCAACAUGUAUUUAAAACAGUCAUAGGAUUCCACUUAACUUCAGUAUAUAAAAGUGAGAAAAACUUAACAACUUUAAUGUUUUAAUGCACUUUGUUUGUCUAAACAUAAAGUAUUUAUGUGCUAAAAUGCUUCAUCUAUUUUGAACAUAUGUGUAAAUAAUGAGCACAUCCAAUUAUGUACACUUCAACAUUAGCCUUUACUUUCUAAAUAAAAUAGAACAAACACACGUUUGGAUACUGAAUGGCGCAGUGACCACUUUAAAUUUUAUUUUCCUAUUACAAUAUGUAUCUGAUCUGGUUAAGUCCAUCAAUAACACAAGAUACACUACCUGACAGAAUCUUGGACAAUAUCAUGUUCUGCAACAAAAUAAUCUACAAAAUAAAUACAACACAUUUAAAUACUGUUCUUUAUAUAUAAAACUUCAAUACAAAUAUUUUGUAUACAAAAAAAACCAAAC
This 556-nucleotide long non-coding RNA is filed under the name Mytilus galloprovincialis (Mediterranean mussel). Lineage: Eukaryota; Metazoa; Mollusca; Bivalvia; Mytilida; Mytilidae. The record is from RNAcentral.